Molecule: ribosomal RNA, 467 nt
Filed under: uncultured bacterium
Lineage: Bacteria
Description: partial 16S ribosomal RNA
Rfam family: Bacterial small subunit ribosomal RNA
Source: RNAcentral
GACGAACGCUGGCGGCGUGCUUAACACAUGCAAGUCGAACGGAAAGGCCCUGCUUUUGUGGGGUGCUCGAGUGGCGAACGGGUGAGUAACACGUGAGUAACCUGCCCUUGACUUUGGGAUAACUUCAGGAAACUGGGGCUAAUACCGGAUAGGAGCUCCUGCUGCAUGGUGGGGGUUGGAAAGUUUCGGCGGUUGGGGAUGGACUCGCGGCUUAUCAGCUUGUUGGUGGGGUAGUGGCUUACCAAGGCUUUGACGGGUAGCCGGCCUGAGAGGGUGACCGGCAACAUGGGGACUGGGAUACGGCCCAGACUCCAACGGGAGGCAGCAGUGGGGAAUAUUGCAAAAGGGGCGGAGGCCGGAUGAAGCAACGCCGGGGGCGGGAUGACGGCCUUCGGGUUGUAAACCGCUUUCGCCUGUGACGAAGCGUGAGUGACGGUAAUGGGUAAAGAAGCACCGGCUAACUACGU